GAGGUCGGAGAAGUGUCGGCGAGGCCGAUGUGGAAGUUUCGAAGGAAAGACACAUUCGCAUUCGUGAAAGGUACGCCGCCUCUUUCCAGUAGCAGCACGCUGAAGUUCUGUGACAAUGUCGCCGCCAAUGGACAGCCGGCGGUACCACCGCCGACGAUUAUAUAAUCGUAACCUCCCUCUCGCUCAUGGCCGUCGCGAUAGAAAGAGCUAGCGCGCUUGAUGAACGGGUAUGAGAGAACCAACCUUGGCAAGAAGAGAGAAGAAGAACAAGGAAGAGAAAGAGGUUCACAGCCCCAACCAACGCCAUUGAAUUGCAGAAAAGGAAAAUGGAAGCUGCUUCUUCGAAAUCAGAGUAGUGGAUGAUCUCUUAGAUCGUGUGUGGAUGGCAGAUUUAAAGACGAAGAACAGAUCCCAAGAAAACACAUGAAUCUGUUGGAGCUUUGGAUGGAUGGAUGGGUGUGCUGGUGGAUCGUUGGAUGAGGUCUUUUGAGGUCUGACCAUGGCCGUCCAUGGAUGCUACUAGAACAUCGCUCAUUCACCUGUAUGGGUACGUAUAUUUAUUGCGUUGGUAGCUUCCAGUUGACAUGGCAUGGUUUUAUUUAAAUUUUAAUUAAUUACUUUUUAACCGUUUUUUAAAAAAAUUUAAGUCUUUAAAAUAUACAUUGAAAUAAAAGAUGAUUUUUUUUUUUCCUUUAAAUGCCUUAAUCAUCAACCACAUCCAUCCAACCACCAACACAAAUGUUUAACCAUCCUUCUUUGUUGCACCCGUGAAUGUCUUGUGAAGGGGCCAUCGUGUUUCCACCGUGCAGUAGAAGCAGCACUGCUUGUAAUAAACUCCUAACCAAACUGUUUUAUGU
Long non-coding RNA from Cucurbita pepo subsp. pepo (vegetable marrow), 857 nucleotides. RefSeq lists it as uncharacterized. NCBI's taxonomy places the organism in Eukaryota, Viridiplantae, Streptophyta, Magnoliopsida, Cucurbitales, Cucurbitaceae. The record is from RefSeq and is a predicted model, not a curated record.